This 1047-nucleotide long non-coding RNA is filed under the name Rattus norvegicus (Norway rat). RNAcentral describes it as "long non-coding RNA NONRATT009160". The record is from RNAcentral. Lineage: Eukaryota; Metazoa; Chordata; Mammalia; Rodentia; Muridae.
AGUGUUGGGGGUGCUUAGGAUUUAGGGAAAAGAAAUUUCAGUAGUGAUUCCUAUUAGAGUUAAGGGUAUGGGGAAAAGAAAAAAAGAAAUCCCAGCACUGAUUCUUAUUAGGGUUAGGGUGAGAAAGGAAGGAAGCAAGGAAGCAAGGAAGGAAGGAAAGAACAAAAGAGAAGAACAUAAAUUUGAUGGAAGAAAUGGGAGGAGGUUGAUUGGGGAAAGGAUAGGGAUGAAAAAGAUAUAAUAUUCACAUAUAAAAUUCAUGAUGCCUUUGUUAAUAUCUGAAUAGUAUUCCAUUGUGUAAAUGAAUCACAUUUUAUGUAUUCAUUCUUCAUUUGUGGGACAUCUGGUUUGUUUACAGCUUCUGGCUAUCACAGAUAAGGCCACUAUGAACAUAGUGGAGCACUUGCCCCUAUGGCAUGAUGGGAAAUCUUCAUAUGCCCAAGAGUGAUAUAGCUGAAUCUUCAGGUAGAGCUAUUUCUAAUUUUCUGAGUAACCUCCAGAUUGAUUUCCUGAUUGGUUGUACCAGUUUUAGACUGAAGUUCCAUGUAACAAACAUCAAUUUAUUACUCCUAGAAUGGUGAGCCACCUCAAGACAGGAUAAGCAGUAAAUAACACAACAAAUAGCAUUCAAUAUUGAAUAACUCGUAUUCCAGCUCUAAUAGAAUGCUACAUAGCAGCCUAGAAAUUUCAUCUGUAAAACUGACUAGAUAGCACAUACCAUUUAGGAAUACUGCAAAAUUAGGAGUAAAAUAUGUAAAACUGUGCAGGCCCUGUCACCUAACAGACACUAAAUAAACAAACAUUAGUUACUAUUCCUGUCAUUGGUAUCAGUGUUAUUAGCCUAUGCAGGAUAGGUGACAACAGUAAGCAUAUGCUGGUAAAUCGUUUUUCUUGUUUUUAUCACAUCAUUAGGAAUAAUGAGAGAUUAAAACUAAAACAACUCUAGCAGUUAACAUUUUGGGUUGAUUUCAAUGAUACCCUUUUCACUUGUUCUUACUAACUCUGAACUUUACAGAUCUUAAAAAAGUCCACAAAAAAAAAAAAAAA